AUGCUUCUCCUAAAGACUAAGCCAUGCAUGCCUCCGAAUAAGAAGAAGCAAUUCUCUCUGAAUCUGCGAACGGCUCCGCACACCAGUUGCAAACUAUAGCAAGCAAGCUUGCUCGGGUUGGGCUUCGGCCUGGCCUGGGUGAUACGGAUAACCCUGGUAAUUCUGAGGCUAAUACGUGUAUGGAACACCCGGUGGACCGGCCUCACGGCUGGGAUAUCGGGAGACGAGUGAUGGAAUGUUUGGAUUACCAGGAACGGGCG
Molecule: ribosomal RNA, 260 nt
Filed under: uncultured Lamproderma sp.
Lineage: Eukaryota; Evosea; Eumycetozoa; Stemonitida
Description: partial 18S ribosomal RNA
Rfam family: Eukaryotic small subunit ribosomal RNA
Source: RNAcentral